This 233-nucleotide long non-coding RNA is filed under the name Musa acuminata (dwarf banana). RNAcentral's name for it is "long non-coding RNA (MACU_LNC009165)". The record is from RNAcentral. Lineage: Eukaryota; Viridiplantae; Streptophyta; Magnoliopsida; Zingiberales; Musaceae.
CUUCAAGUGGUAGAUUAUUCCAAUGCACUAGUACUUCGGUAGAUGGAUGUCGGCGACGCAUCACGAUCCUGCGAUCGAGGAUGGCUUGUGGUUGGGCUUGAAUAACUCCAUCCUCAGUUGUGUUGGGCAGUUGGAUCUGGGGUGACUCAUGUUCUCCCAACUUGGGCUUUAGGCAUGAUACGUGGAAGACAGGGUGAAUUUUGGCAUCUUCAGGUAAUUUAAGUCUGUACGCC